ACGGAAGGCAGCAGUGGGGAAUAUUGCACAAUGGGGGAAACCCUGAUGCAGCGAUGCCGCGUGGAGGAAGAAGGUUUUCGGAUUGUAAACUCCUGUCUUAAAGGACGAUAAUGACGGUACUUUAGGAGGAAGCUCCGGCUAACUACGUGCCAGCAGCCGCGGUAAUACGUAGGGAGCGAGCGUUGUCCGGAAUUACUGGGUGUAAAGGGAGCGUAGGCGGGACUGCAAGUCAGAUGUGAAAUGCCGAGGCUUAACCCCGGAGCUGCAUUUGAAACUGUGGUUCUUGAGUGAAGUAGAGGCAAGCGGAAUUCCUGGUGUAGCGGUGAAAUGCGUAGAUAUCAGGAGGAACACCGGUGGCGAAGGCGGCUUGCUGGGCUUUUACUGACGCUGAGGCUCGAAAGCGUGGGUAGCAAACAGGAUUAGAUACCCUGGUA
RNAcentral lists this ribosomal RNA (434 nucleotides) under uncultured Ruminococcus sp. Its description in RNAcentral is "bacterial SSU rRNA". It matches the Rfam family "Bacterial small subunit ribosomal RNA", at positions 341 to 792 of the family's 1533-position model. Lineage: Bacteria; Bacillati; Bacillota; Clostridia; Eubacteriales; Oscillospiraceae. The record is from RNAcentral.